GUCUCUUCGGGGAUGAUUAAACCGGCGCACGGGUGAGUAACACGUGAGUGACCUGCCUUUUAGACUGGAACAACUUACCGAAAGGUGAGCUAAUGCCGGAUGAGUUAUAUAAGUGCAUGUUUAUAUAGGAAAAGUUGGGGAGACCUGACGCUGAAAGAUGGACUCGCGUCCCAUUAGCUAGUUGGUAGGGUAAUGGCCUACCAAGGCGACGAUGGGUAGCCGGCCUGAGAGGGUGGCCGGCCACACUGGGACUGAGACACGGCCCAGACUCCUACGGGAGGCAGCAGUGGGGAAUUUUGCGCAAUGCUCGUAAGAGUGACGCAGCGACGCCGCGUGAAUGACGAAGGCCUUCGGGUCGUAAAGUUCUUUCGACAGGGAAGAAAAUGCCUAUAAGUAACUGUGUAUGUAUUGACGGUACCUGUAUAAGCAGCCCCGGCUAACUCCGUGCCAGCAGCCGCGGUAAUACGGAGGGGGCGAGCGUUGUUCGGAGUGACUGGGCGUAAAGAGCACGUAGGCGGUGUUGUAAGUCAUUAGUCAAAGACUAGAGCUCAACUUUAGUAAGGCUAGUGAUACUAUAAUACUAGAGUAUCAGAGAGGAUUGCAGAAUUCCUGGUGUAGCGGUGAAAUGCGUAGAUAUCAGGAGGAAUACCGUUAGCGAAGGCGGCAAUCUGGCUGGAAACUGACGCUGAGGUGCGAAAGCGUGGGUAG
Molecule: ribosomal RNA, 708 nt
Filed under: uncultured bacterium
Lineage: Bacteria
Description: bacterial SSU rRNA
Rfam family: Bacterial small subunit ribosomal RNA
Source: RNAcentral